GCUGCAUAAAGCUUGAUUUAUGGUUCUGCGCAGGCUCCACGCAAAGCUUUCGCCGUAGCCUACGUAAGUGGCCUGACGUUUAUACUUGCGCGCUGGUGUGUACGUCGAGCCGGCGUGUGUUUGUGUAGGGAUUGUGUG
This is a long non-coding RNA of Etheostoma spectabile (orangethroat darter), 138 nucleotides long. RefSeq lists it as uncharacterized. The transcript has 3 exons. The record is from RefSeq and is a predicted model, not a curated record. NCBI's taxonomy places the organism in Eukaryota, Metazoa, Chordata, Actinopteri, Perciformes, Percidae.